This 497-nucleotide ribosomal RNA is filed under the name uncultured bacterium. RNAcentral's name for it is "partial 16S ribosomal RNA". It matches the Rfam family "Bacterial small subunit ribosomal RNA", at positions 28 to 507 of the family's 1533-position model. The record is from RNAcentral.
GAUGAACGCUGGCGGCGUGCCUAAUACAUGCAAGUCGAGCGAACAGACGAGGAGCUUGCUCCUUUGACGUUAGCGGCGGACGGGUGAGUAACACGUAGGGAACCUACCUAUAAGACUGGGAUAACUUCGGGAAACCGGAGCUAAUACCGGAUAAUAUUUCGAACCGCAUGGUUCGAUAGUGAAAGAUGGCUUUGCUAUCACUUAUAGAUGGACCUGCGCCGUAUUAGCUAGUUGGUAAGGUAACGGCUUACCAAGGCAACGAUACGUAGCCGACCUGAGAGGGUGAUCGGCCACACUGGAACUGAGACACGGUCCAGACUCCUACGGGAGGCAGCAGUAGGGAAUCUUCCGCAAUGGGCGAAAGCCUGACGGAGCAACGCCGCGUGAGUGAUGAAGGUCUUCGGAUCGUAAAACUCUGUUAUUAGGGAAGAACAAACGUGUAAGUAACUGUGCACGUAUUGACGGUACCUAAUCAGAAAGCCACGGCUAACUACGUG